CCUACGGGCGGCAGCAGUGAGGAAUAUUGGUCAAUGGACGAGAGUCUGAACCAGCCAAGUAGCGUGAAGGAUGACUGCCCUAUGGGUUGUAAACUUCUUUUAUAUGGGAAUAAAAUGUUCCACGUGUGGGAUUUUGUAUGUACCAUAUGAAUACGGAUCGGCUAACUCCGUGCCAGCAGCCGCGGUAAUACUGAGGAUCCGAGCGUUAUCCGGAUUUAUUGGGUUUAAAGGGAGCGUAGGUGGAUUGUUAAGUCAGUUGUGAAAGUUUGCGGCUCAACCGUAAAAUUGCAGUUGAAACUGGCAGUCGUGAGUACAGUAGAGGUGGGCGGAAGUCGUGGUGGAGCGGUGAAAUGCUGAGAUAUCACGAAGAACUCCGAUUGCGAAGGCAGUUCACUGGACUGCAACUGACACUGAGGCUCGAAAGUGUGGGUAUCAAACAGGAUGAGAUACCCCAGUAGUC
RNAcentral lists this ribosomal RNA (460 nucleotides) under uncultured bacterium. RNAcentral's name for it is "partial 16S ribosomal RNA". It matches the Rfam family "Bacterial small subunit ribosomal RNA", at positions 338 to 795 of the family's 1533-position model. The record is from RNAcentral.